GCAACAGAAACUCAUUGGUAGGGCGCUAGAGGUGUUGGUUCGAUUCCAACCUGUUGCA
This 58-nucleotide transfer RNA is filed under the name Caudoviricetes sp. RNAcentral describes it as "tRNA-OTHER". It matches the Rfam family "tRNA". From Rfam's summary of the family: Transfer RNA (tRNA) molecules are approximately 80 nucleotides in length. Their secondary structure includes four short double-helical elements and three loops (D, anti-codon, and T loops). Further hydrogen bonds mediate the characteristic L-shaped molecular structure. tRNAs have two regions of fundamental functional importance: the anti-codon, which is responsible for specific mRNA codon recognition, and the 3' end, to which the tRNAs corresponding amino acid is attached (by aminoacyl-tRNA synthetases). tRNAs cope with the degeneracy of the genetic code in two manners: having more than one tRNA (with a specific anti-codon) for a particular amino acid; and 'wobble' base-pairing, i.e. permitting non-standard base-pairing at the 3rd anti-codon position. Lineage: Duplodnaviria; Heunggongvirae; Uroviricota; Caudoviricetes. The record is from RNAcentral.